GGCGUCGAGAAGGCGGCCGAGCUGGUCAAGGCCAGCGGCCUCAAGAGCCGCUGCGCGAUUUCGAAUGCGCGCCCGACGCCA
This 81-nucleotide transfer RNA is filed under the name Variovorax paradoxus. Its description in RNAcentral is "tRNA-Leu". The record is from RNAcentral. Lineage: Bacteria; Pseudomonadati; Pseudomonadota; Betaproteobacteria; Burkholderiales; Comamonadaceae.